RNAcentral lists this ribosomal RNA (1005 nucleotides) under Brevibacterium sp. Its description in RNAcentral is "bacterial SSU rRNA". It matches the Rfam family "Bacterial small subunit ribosomal RNA", at positions 56 to 1066 of the family's 1533-position model. Lineage: Bacteria; Bacillati; Actinomycetota; Actinomycetes; Micrococcales; Brevibacteriaceae. The record is from RNAcentral.
UGCAGUCGACGCUGAAGCCUGGUGCUUGCACCGGGUGGAUGAGUGGCGAACGGGUGAGUAACACGUGAGUAACCUGCCCCCGACUUCGGGAUAAGCCCGGGAAACUGGGUCUAAUACCGGAUAUGAGCGUUCCUCGCAUGAGGGAUGCUGGAAAGUCUUUUCGGUUGGGGAUGGGCUCGCGGCCUAUCAGUUUGUUGGUGAGGUAAUGGCUCACCAAGACGACGACGGGUAGCCGGCCUGAGAGGGCGACCGGCCACACUGGGACUGAGACACGGCCCAGACUCCUACGGGAGGCAGCAGUGGGGAAUAUUGCACAAUGGGGGAAACCCUGAUGCAGCGACGCAGCGUGCGGGAUGACGGCCUUCGGGUUGUAAACCGCUUUCAGCAGGGAAGAAGCCUUUCGGGGUGACGGUACCUGCAGAAGAAGUACCGGCUAACUACGUGCCAGCAGCCGCGGUAAUACGUAGGGUACAAGCGUUGUCCGGAAUUAUUGGGCGUAAAGAGCUCGUAGGUGGUUGGUCACGUCUGCUGUGGAAACGCAACGCUUAACGUUGCGCGUGCAGUGGGUACGGGCUGACUAGAGUGCAGUAGGGGAGUCUGGAAUUCCUGGUGUAGCGGUGAAAUGCGCAGAUAUCAGGAGGAACACCGGUGGCGAAGGCGGGACUCUGGGCUGUAACUGACACUGAGGAGCGAAAGCAUGGGGAGCGAACAGGAUUAGAUACCCUGGUAGUCCAUGCCGUAAACGUUGGGCACUAGGUGUGGGGGACAUUCCACGUUCUCCGCGCCGUAGCUAACGCAUUAAGUGCCCCGCCUGGGGAGUACGGUCGCAAGGCUAAAACUCAAAGGAAUUGACGGGGGCCCGCACAAGCGGCGGAGCAUGCGGAUUAAUUCGAUGCAACGCGAAGAACCUUACCAAGGCUUGACAUACACCAGACCGGUCUGGAAACAGUCCUUCCCCUUUGGGGUUGGUGUACAGGUGGUGCAUGGUUGUCGUCAGCUCGUGUC